AUAAAAUCUUUCAUCUGCAUAUUUAUUGCAUUAAUAAAUAUUUUUACCCGUUAGUUUAAGCUUUCAAAUCAGUUGAAACUCUUAAUAUUUUGGGGCAAUUAUUUAUAUACUCAUAAAAAGUUUCUAAUUUAUCAUUCUUAAAAGGCUAAUAUUAAAAAUAUCUUUUUUUACGUUCCAAUCUAUUUCAAAUAUAUUCCUAAAAUUAAAAUAUAUUUAUAAACUGUUAGCAAUAAUUGGAAUUUCUAUAAAAUUACUAUUUUACCCUUUCAAAUAUACUCUUCUACCAUCACCGACUUUUCAUAUUUGCCUUGAAGUUAGGGGCACAAAAAGUAUUUUAUUUUUUGGUCUUUUCAAAUAUGCUUUUUUACCAACACUAACAUUUCUUAUUUGCCCUUAAAUUAAGCACAAAAGAGGCAUUUUGAUUUUUCUAACUGUGAUUGAUACUUAACUUACGUUUAAUCUAAGUUAACUUAACGAGUGAUAUCUGUAGGAUAUUAAUAACGGAGGAACAUAUGAGGAAUAUAUUAAAAAGAAAAAAAGUAUAAAUAAAUAAGAUAUUUUUUUUAUUUUUUUUUUUUUUUUUUUUUUUUU
RNAcentral lists this long non-coding RNA (591 nucleotides) under Ananas comosus (pineapple). RNAcentral's name for it is "long non-coding RNA (ACOM_LNC030902)". The record is from RNAcentral. Lineage: Eukaryota; Viridiplantae; Streptophyta; Magnoliopsida; Poales; Bromeliaceae.